UCACUGUGCUUUGAUGUGGCCUCCACUAUU
RNAcentral lists this non-coding RNA (30 nucleotides) under Homo sapiens (human). Lineage: Eukaryota; Metazoa; Chordata; Mammalia; Primates; Hominidae. The record is from RNAcentral.